GACGAACGCUGGCGGCGUGCCUAAUACAUGCAAGUCGAGCGCAGGAAGCCGUCUGAACCCUUCGGGGGGACGACGAUGGAAUGAGCGGCGGACGGGUGAGUAACACGUAAAGAACCUGCCCAUAGGUCUGGGAUAACCACGAGAAAUCGGGGCUAAUACCGGAUGUGUCAUCGGACCGCAUGGUCCGCUGAUGAAAGGCGCUCGGGCGUCGCCCAUGGAUGGCUUUGCGGUGCAUUAGCUAGUUGGUGGGGUAACGGCCCACCAAGGCGACGAUGCAUAGCCGACCUGAGAGGGUGAUCGGCCACACUGGGACUGAGACACGGCCCAGACUCCUACGGGAGGCAGCAGUAGGGAAUCUUCCACAAUGGACGAAAGUCUGAUGGAGCAACGCCGCGUGAACGAUGAAGGCUUUCGGGUCGUAAAGUCCUGUUGUAAGGGAAGAACAAGUGCCGCAGGCAAUGGCGGCACCUUGACGGUACCUUGCGAGAAAGCCACGGCUAACUACGUGCCAGCCGCCGCCGUAA
Molecule: ribosomal RNA, 524 nt
Filed under: uncultured bacterium
Lineage: Bacteria
Description: partial 16S ribosomal RNA
Rfam family: Bacterial small subunit ribosomal RNA
Source: RNAcentral